AAUUACAGAAUAUAUUUCCCCAUGACAGUGUGUUGAUAGUUGAUGGAUAGUUUUGGGAGCUGAGUAAAUAUCUAAUCAGUAUAUGCUCUCACAGCCAGCAUUCAUAAUUCAUUCCCUGUAUUGGACUUUUCCACCUGUUGAACAUCCGAAAUACAAUUAUCAACGAAACCAAAUCAAUAUCUAAUUUCGACGGAGGAGCCCAGAGAAACAUAGCCAGCCAAAUGCCAUCAAUCAUGCGCCGCAUGACAUAACAUAUCCAGCCGAGUCUGGAUUUGCUUCCAUCUGUAUCUGUAAAUGUAUCUGUAUCUGUCUGUAUUUUCGGAUGUAUCUGCGGACCACUGCUGCCGUAAAAAACUGAACCUUUUGAGUGCGACCAAGAGGCCCUAGCCUACGCAGAAGUAUCUCAUGGAGACCCGAGUGAGUAAUGGCCAAGAGAGGCCACCGUAAACCCACAGAAGAUACCGAAAAAUGUGGACCAUCAACGUCAUCAAUGAAUCUCUGGUGUGCACACGAGUUCCAACUCCCAACUCCUUGCUAUGCAAAUCCCAUUUGGCCAUUGGCCCUCGGACUCUGUAAUAAAUUCCACAAUAGGCUGUUGAUAUUUUGAUGGACUCAAGCCGGCCACAAAUCAGCCACAUUAACUGGCACGAGACAACAUUCAAAUGUUAAUUAAUCAAGUCAUAACGAGUUUUUCUAUGCCGGCUUGGAUUUCUCAUGGAUUGACUGAGGUUAGUUCGCCGUGCGAGUUGGACAAUUCUCAGUGAAUGUGGCAUCAGAAGCCGGAAAAAAUAACCUUUCUUCGUUGGCUCCUUGGCCAACUCCUUGGCCAACUAAAGUCUGAACUGAUCGCUUGGAGCUCACAAAAAAAGAAAAAACAAAAAACCAAUAAAAAACAGGUUGUGGCUACCGAAGAAAAAGAGAAUGCAUUCUGGCCAGGAUGAUGUUCCGUAGCGGAUCUGCCUGCCGGUGGUGGAUUGCUCCUAGCCUGGCCGAGACAGCUGCAAAACCACCAGAGAGCCAGGCGCUAACAAACUCAUUUUUAGCACGGAAAAAUAUUUUAUUUAUUUGAGUAAUUCACUUCUUUUAUGCAUUACAUAUCCGCAAUUAUUUGUUUAAAAAUGUAAAUAGAUUAAUUGAAAAGCUAUUCUACAAAUAUUUCAAGAAAAAAGCUAGUUGUAAAUAUCUACGGAUAAGACUUUUAACCUUCAACUUCAAAUAUAAAUCGUCUUUUGUAUGUAACUAAGCAUGGCUCACAUAAUAAUGAACCUAAGUAAAUACGA
Drosophila yakuba is the source of this 1280-nucleotide long non-coding RNA. RefSeq lists it as uncharacterized. NCBI's taxonomy places the organism in Eukaryota, Metazoa, Arthropoda, Insecta, Diptera, Drosophilidae. The transcript has 2 exons. The record is from RefSeq and is a predicted model, not a curated record.